This 246-nucleotide ribosomal RNA is filed under the name uncultured bacterium. RNAcentral's name for it is "partial 16S ribosomal RNA". It matches the Rfam family "Bacterial small subunit ribosomal RNA", at positions 104 to 353 of the family's 1533-position model. The record is from RNAcentral.
GGGUGAGUAAUGUCUGGGGAUCUGGCCUGAUGAGGGGAAUAACCACUGGAAACGGUGGCUAAUGCCGCAUAAUGUCGCAAGACCAAAGUGGGGGACUUUCGGGCCUCACGCACUAGGAUGAACCCAGAUGGGAUUAGCUAGUAGGUGGGGUAACGGCUCACCUAGUCGACGAUCCCUAGCUGGUCUGAGAGGAUGACCAGCCACACUGGAACUGAGACACGGUCCAGACUCCUACGGGAGGCAGCA